Molecule: long non-coding RNA, 1112 nt
Organism: Cyprinus carpio carpio
Lineage: Eukaryota; Metazoa; Chordata; Actinopteri; Cypriniformes; Cyprinidae
Source: Ensembl
ACAGGCCUGUGCCAAUUUAUCACGCUGGCCGUGCAGGAAUCUUCAAAGAUAACGAGCCCAUCUGCUCAAGCUAUUCGUCAACAAUAAAAUGGAGAGGCGUGAAACGAAGCCAGCACGUUGUACUAUCUCUGGAUGUUUAAUGGCUGUGCACUAUAGCGAGGAAAUGCCUGGGUUAAUAGGAAGCAGAGACACUUGCACGUCUCAUCAUAUCUCUGAGUCCUGGCUAAAAAGUGAGAAUCCCUAAAUCCGAAAGGAGAAAACGCAGUUAGAGUUUCAGAUGAGGCAUGAAGAAAGGUUUCAUAUGCGCUGGUCUAAAUGUGCUGUAAUUCAACGAGUCUGUACUGAGCAGUACAUUUUUAGACAAUUAUAGUUAUAGUUAUAGUUAUAUUUAUAGUUAUAGUUACACUGGCUGGUAUUUUCCAACAGUGAAGGCGCAUUCUUCUUAAUGAAAGAAAAAAUCUAGUUUACAUUCUUAGUCAAAUUAUGUAUUUAUGUUGGUUCUAUAUGGUUUAAAAAAAAUGUGUGUGUGUGUGUUAAUUUUCUCCAUUAACACACAACUUAUCCCUUCACAAGAUGUUAAGUGAUGGACUGUUUUUCUGUGGUUACUCAUGGAUUAUUGUGAUGUUUUUAUCAGUUGUUUGGACUCCCAUUCUGACGGCACCCAUUCACUGAAGAGGAUCCACUGGUGAGCAAGUGUUGCAAUAAAUUUCUCCAAAUUUGUUCUUAUUAAGAAACAAACUCAUCUACAUCUUAAAAUGGCCUGAGGGUGAAUAAACUGUCAGCAAAUGUUCAUGUUGGGGUGAACUAUUGCUUUAAGAAACACUCUUAGGCCUGAGCAUGAGUGGCAUGAGUCAAGCAGAACUUUGCACAGCCCCUGUGCAGGUGUCCGAACAAGAAGUGAGUGGAUGUCGCCCACUUCUGCCAAGUUCCUUUCAUUUCCAAGAGCUCGAUGCCUACAGGCCAAAACUGUAAGUGUUGAAAGAUGUCUCCUCCUUGACCUGUUGAGUGAUGCACAGGUUGCCCAUCACUCGAUGUCAUCCCUGGAGAAGGUUCACUUACCAGUGCUGGUUUUCUUUCUGAAAUCAGGCAGGGUGUUAUUUUUAGUAAUGUAA